GAGCAUGUUGUUUUCUUCACCUUAUAUGGAGCUUCCUUAACAGGUUCCUGGUGCUGGUUCCAGCAGAAUAGACACAGAGAUGCAUGGCCUAACUCCCACUCCCUCUUCAGGACUGAGCCACGCAGCCCCCCAUCUGCCAGAAGUGUUAGCUGUUGACGGCUCACAGCUGAGUCCCUCUCCAGGCAUUGCUGAAAAGAGCCACCUUGCUCUAGGAUGUGCCCCCACCCUGGGGGCAGCAUACAUUCCAAGUGAUUAGUCCAUAGUGUGGUACAAAGGUUGUACCCAUCUUGCCUGAAUUCAGGAUCUCUUGGAAAACCACCCCAGCUCUGCAGCUCCUGGUGGGGUGCUGAGGCCUCUGCUGCAGCUGCAUCGCAGUUUACUUUCCCCUCUGCCUAGUCCUGCUGCCUUCACUCCCCAACAGAUCACCCGCUCUGAACAUGCCAUCUACUGUGGAAAUCUUCAAUCUUUAAUUAAUUUUUCCUGUUACAGGAAGAUUAAGUCUAAAAGGGUAUCUCCCCUAGUUGAUCCAGAACUAAAUAACAUUGUUUUCAGUACUUCCAGUAACUUGCUUACACUCUUACUUCUAAAGCAUUGAAUGUAUCAUCUUAUGUGCUUGUCACCCCCAGCUUGUGUCAUAGGAGAAAGUAUACGGAGAUCAGGUACAACUUCAGUUCAACAGCUUAUGAGCUAUUGGAUCAGUCUCCUUAUUAAUCUCUCAGAGCCUCAAUUUCCUUGUUUAAAAUGGGGGCAAUACCUACCUUAAGGAAUUUCUUGAGGAUCAAAAGAAACCCUAGUAACAAAGCCUUGAACCAUGUCUGACUUAUAGUAUAUAUUCUAACUGCAAGUUCUUUUCAUGUCUUGUCCAUGAAUUCUUCAUUCAUUCAUUCAUUCAUUCAUCCAACAACCAAGCAUUCACUGAUGCUCCAAUUGUGCAAGACACUGUUUUAGGCCUUGAGAAUACAAACUGCACAAGCAGGACAAUGUAACCAGUGUUAUGCAGGGUCUGGUCUAGUGGGAGGAGAAGACAGUGACCAUGGCCCAUGAUGAGUGACAGAAUGAAAAGUAAUCAGGAAGAUAUGAUAGGAAAUACAGGGAGAAUGGGAGAGUCUGCUUUAUGUUGCAUAAUCAGAGGGCAGCUCUGGACAGGCAAAAUUUGAGCUGAGACCUAAAUGACAAGGAGUGAAGCCAAUGGAACAUCUGAAAGAAUAGUUUUCUAGAAAGAGAGCCCAGCUAGUGUGAGCCCUAAAGUAGGUAGAAAAUGGGCUUGGAGGGUUUUAUAUGAGGAGCAGCGGGAAGUAGGCAGAGGCCUGGUCAUUGUAGGUCAUGUUGGCUAGAGUAAAGAGCUUGUGUUUGAUUCUCAGGGCAAUGAAGAGCCUUUGGAGAAUUUAAAGCAAAGUGGGGAGGGGGAACAAGAGCUGAUUUACAUUAUUCUGAACAGCACCAGGAGGGAUAGUACUGGAUAAUAAGAGUGGUAAAAGGAGACCAUUUAGGAGGUUAUAGCAAUUGUCCAGGGUGGCCUGGCCUGCCACGGUAGCCACAGAGACGGUGAGAGGUGAGGAGGUGCCAGGUACCGUCAUGGGAGACAUAAUGACAUUCGAUCAAUGCUGAACUACAUAUAUGACGGUGGUACCAUGAGAUUAUAAUGGAGCUGAAAAAUUCCCAUCACCUAGUGACCUCGUAGCUGCUGGAACAUUGCAGGGCAAUGCAUACACACAUGUAUGUGGUGAUAGUGGUGCACACAAACCUACUAUGCUGCCAGUCCUAUAAAAGUGUAGCACACAGGAUUAUGUACAGUACAUAACACUUGAUAAUGAUAACAAAUGACUAGGUUACUGGUUUAUGCAUUUACCAUACUAUACUUUUAUCGUUAUUUUAGAGAGUACUCCCUCUACUUAUUUAAUAAAUAUAGUUAACUGUAAAACAGCCUCAGGCAGGUCGUUCAGGAGGUAUUCUAAAGAAGGCAUUACUAUCACAGGAGAUGACAACUCCAUGCGUGUUAUUGCCCCUGAAGACCUUUCAGUGGGAUACAGUGUGGAGGUGGAAGACAGUGAUACUGAUGAUCCUGACCCUGUGUAGACCUAUGCUAAUGUGUGCUUGUGUCUUAGUUUUUCACAAAAAAGGUUUAAAAAUAAAAAUACAAAAGAAUAAAAAAGGUUAUAGAAUAAGGAUAUAAAGAAAGAAAAUACUUUUGUACAGCUGUAUAAGUGUUUGUGUUUUAAAUUAAGUGUUAUUACAAAGG
Homo sapiens (human) is the source of this 2239-nucleotide long non-coding RNA. Ensembl annotates it as myocardin-induced smooth muscle lncRNA, inducer of differentiation. Its record names the gene MYOSLID. The record is from Ensembl. NCBI's taxonomy places the organism in Eukaryota, Metazoa, Chordata, Mammalia, Primates, Hominidae.